AGGUGGUGGAUGCCCUGUCCUUCGAUACAUUCAAGGUCAGGCUGCAUGGGGCUCUGAGCAACCUGAUCUAGCUGUAGGUGUCCCUGUUCAUUGCAGGGGGGUUGGAAGGGACCUUUAAAGGUCAUCCAAUCCAACUCAGAGAUUACUCUAUAAUUUAAAAGUAAUCAGAACAGGGAGGAUAGGAAAGCAGUGCAGCCGCAUAGACUAUUUUCAUGGAAAACCAGUCAAAAGUUUGUGUAGCCACCAGAAGAUGAGGCCAUCAUAAAACAUCCAGAGUUAAGAUGCUAGUUCAUAGGAAUUUAUCUAAACUAGAAUUUGCAUCGGUUCUGAAUUCGUCCUGUAGUAAGUGCAGAUGAAAGAAAUGAGACUGCGCUGUGUAUUAAGGAAAUGGAAUGAGAAUUGAAAUAGUUUAAAAGAUCUUACAGGAUAAAGAGAGAAGUAAUGUGAUUGAACGAGUCCAGACAAACACAAACUAGCAGAAGUACCAAAAGAGAUAUUACAUUAAUGUAGAAAUUAUAUUUAGGAUUGUCCUUUUAAACAGCUUGCAAUGACCAACGUUACUUAAAUAUGUCUCUUCUGAAGGGGCAAUUGUGCUGGUAGUCAAACAAGCAGAAUUAAAGAAAGGAGAUUGUUAAAUGCUGCAGAAGUGACUCCGGGUUUCUGCUGGAAGCUUGAGGAUUUUGCCCCUUCUGUUACAACAGUCAGUUGCAAAUGUUAAAAUAUCUACUUCAGCUAAGUACUCACUGAUUUACUGAGAAGCUGGGUUCAGGCCAAGUCUAUUUCAUUUAUGCCUACAUAAAUGCUAAUAGGAAGCAUAAAUGUAUAGGUAUUCUGUAUACGCUGUAAACAACAUAUGGGGGGAAACAGCUUGCGUUAUUUUUGCACUUUCAUUUUUUUCACCUAUUAAUAGUGAAACUUGCAUUGAAGGUAGUUCUGUUUUUUGAAUUUUGUUUUGCAAUAUACAUUGGUUUGUUACCUAACUAUCAGAUAAUUAAUUUUAGCUGAAGUGGAAAAAUGCCUUUACGGUAUACAAACAGAAUGAUUCUGGGCAGUGCAGCUUGUCCAGUGUGUUAACCGUACUUGGAUUUCAAAUACCUUUGUUCUUUCACUUAUUAUUUCUUUUCAAAUCACUGGUGUUUCUGGAAUGCAGUGAAAGGAGAAUUCCAGAGAUAUUUUGAAAAAAAUGCGAAUUUGAUCCUUUCAAAAACAGAGAAUGGUUCAAGGUCAUCUUGAAAAUAAACUAGCUUGGCAGUAUUUGUAUAUAACAGAGAAUGGUUCAAGGUCAUCUUGAAAAUAAACUAGCUUGGCAGUAUUUGUAUAUAAUAUCUAAACAUGGUUAUUUGUGUUCACCUAGCUAGUGACCUAGAGGCCGUCUGAAAUGUAUCAGUGUAAGUUACGCUAAACUGCAUGGUAACAAAAAUGUUGAUAAAGAAGUUUUCCUGUCUCAUUACAUUAUGUGUAGUCUUUAGAGGGGCAGAGGAGAGGUUAAACAUCUCUUAUGAAAAGGGCCAACUUCAGGAGUUUGAAAUCAGCCUUCACACACUGUAAUAAAGUAACUGUAAAAAGAUUAGGGGGGGAAAUGGACUACUGUUGCAGGUUGCUAUCAAUAGAAUAUUUCUAGUACUACUGUUCAGAUAGAAUUUCAUCUAGAAUUAGAAAUUGAGUACAGUUACAGAAAAGAUCAGUAGCUAAAACAGCUGGAGGAAUAGAAAGUUUUCCAAAAAAUCACUUGUUAGUAUAGGUGGUAGAAUAUGGCAUCAUUUUCAAUCAGGUAAAGCAAAGAUGAUACAGAAUUGUUUACUUAAACGGUAUGAACUUGCUAGAACAUUCUGCAGUGGCUUCCAUGACCACAAUGGUCAGAACGCAAGAGAGUAAGGGGGUUAUGUGAUCUUGGUGCACUCUUCCACAUGGCAGGUUUUGUCUCUUUCCUGUUCCUUCUCCAGUCUGUGAAUGUUUAUUUUACUGGAAGAGGUGAGUUGAGAGAAAUUGGGAAUGGACAGCACUUCCAUUUUUGGCGCUGCUAUAUUGUCUUCAUUUUGGAGAGAGUGGGCAUGGGGAACUGAUGGCAGCUGUGAAGAACAAACCAAAUAUUUCGAGGAAAAAUCUUUAAAUAUUUCCAAGCUCCUUCCAUCACCUCCUGAGGCAGAAAAUUCAUGAGUUGUCCACUGAACUUGCAGUAUACUUCAGUAAUUAGAAUACUUUUUCUGGAUUUUUAUAACUUCUGAAAAUAGUGUCAUGAUAUUUAGUAGCAGUAGUGAUAACAACAUCUGUGCAACAUUUGAAAGACAGUGGUUAUAGUUGGUAUUUAUGUAAGAAAAUAAUGACAUUUGAAAAGAAGCAUGAGGGUACUUCAGUGUCUUUACACAUAGUGGUCUGUAGCCAGAAACGCUAUUUUGAAGUAGUUAUUUAUUAAUAAUAAUUUAUUAGUUAUAAGUAUUUUUCUGGCAUAAAACUGUGCAGAAGGUUGAGAGCAUUAUAGAUUAAAAGUUGCAGGAGACAGCUGAGACUACACAUUACCACCAUUACAUUAAGUGGUAUUUUAUGCUAUAUUAGUUUAAAUGAGAGUGUUUGGGGAUGCUUAUAUCCAUGUGUUUUGGCAUGUGAAGGGAGAUGCACUAUGCCCACAGGUGGCCGCUAUUCUCCUUUAUUUACCUUUGUAAUUUGCCUCAACUGGGACUUGGUGUAUUCUUUGGUGUCAUGGAUUUUCUGCCUUUGUUCAGGGACUCUGACCCCUUUGCUGUUAAUGGGUGUAAGUUACAAAUCACACCUUUCUGGUUACUACACUCUCAUGAAGGGUAUUUAUAAAGCAAGGUUAUGGGAGUAUUAAGUUCUACAGUAUUGUUUCCACUCAACCUCAUGUGACAAGAAAGAUGUUGUCUGGUUUAUAGGUGUCAAAAAUUGUGAUUCAGUAUCCAAAUACCAUGUGUAGGUCAUAUUAAUGGCUUCUGGUGCAGAACCGUACUGAUUAUUGACAGCAGAAGUCUGUGUGUGAUGAACAUCUAAUUGGGAUUAUGUUUAUGUUCAAAACAUAUGAUCCAGCCUCCUGUUAUGAAAAACAGGAUUUUGAUCCCAAGUUUUUAUAUUCCAAUGGAUUUCAAGUUGAGUUUACAUGUUUAUUUUAGAGAGACAUCUACACUUCUCCAUCAUUUAAAAUGUCUAUCAAAUCAACUGCAUGUCCCAAGAGCUAACAAUGAUUACUGUUAGAGGAGGAAAAAAAAAGGAAAAGAAAAAUGGCAUCUUUAAUAGCAUUUUCGACUUGGUCUUCAAUUGCUGAAUUUGUGCAUUAGUCUGUUAGAUUGAGUUGAGGCUGUAGUGGGACUAGCUACAAAAUAUUUGAUCUGAAUACUGAUAUGACAAUCUGCCUCGCAGCAUGCCAAUUCUUUGAUUGAAUUUUACAAGCACAUUUUGUGUCCCACAAAAAAAAAAAAA
This is a long non-coding RNA of Numida meleagris (helmeted guineafowl), 3429 nucleotides long. RefSeq lists it as uncharacterized. Lineage: Eukaryota; Metazoa; Chordata; Aves; Galliformes; Numididae. The record is from RefSeq and is a predicted model, not a curated record. The transcript has 2 exons.